RNAcentral lists this long non-coding RNA (1723 nucleotides) under Oryctolagus cuniculus (rabbit). Its description in RNAcentral is "lncRNA (ENSOCUG00000030692.1)". Lineage: Eukaryota; Metazoa; Chordata; Mammalia; Lagomorpha; Leporidae. The record is from RNAcentral.
UGCUAAUGCCGCCGCCGCCGCCGUUUUGGCCGCGGCCAGGAGCUAGUGCGCCCCGCGCCCAGCGUGGGGGCGCUUAGCGCUGCUGUCCGCACCGCAUCCCGCCCAGCUGUCCCUGGGGUGCCUGGUGCUCGCCACCUGGCUUGGAGAUACCCUCGGGCGUGAAGCUGCCAACCUGCAAAGCGGAGAAAAGACUGUCAGCUAAAGGCUGCUGAGCCUGGGCUGUCGUCUCUGUGUCCAGGGGGCCAGCACUGGGUGACCCCAAUGGUCCCAAGUGGGGCACGGCACGAGCGAGGAGCCAAGCCUGGAGGAGGGGACAGCUGCGGGCUUGGUCUCCAGUCCGGAAACAAUGAGCUGCAGGCGGUCGGCAGAGACUCUCCCUCAUUGUCUGCCGCGGACCUGCCCCCACCCCGCCCCUUUGCCUUUAACAGUCUGCCUUUUUUAAUAAUUAUCAACCUGGCAGCUCUGAUUCAGAGGAGUGUCUUUAUUCGAGUGAACUAAUUGCAACCUUUUCGUACUCCUACUCCAUUACUCAAAAUAGAAAAUGCCCAAAAGAACAAAGGAAAGUUUUUUUCUUUCCUUGCAAACACACAAUGCAUUUCCAGUCUCAAUUUUUAAAAAGAGGGAGAGUUACGUGUGUCGAAAUGUGUGUGCACACUUGUGCGCUGGAACGCGUGCGCGACUAGAAGCGAUCCGACUGCUCCCCCAGAGACACGUACUCAAAGCCAAAGGCAGCAGAAAAAGGUCAGCGUGCUUGCCUCUUUAUUCCAACACUAAAAAUAACCGCCCCCUCCCGCACCCCCCACCUCCUCCACCAAGAACGAUUCAAUUACAAACACCAGGGGCAUUCAAGGCUUUGGCCCACGAUAAAUAUGACUUUGGAAAGACUCAGAAAUGCCUCCAUCAGCCCUAAUCUUUAGAUGGGUGGAAAGACAUGGAUUCACACCACAGGCUUCCACUGACCCCAUGGCUAUUUCACUCAAGAUGUAUGCUUGCCUAGUGACUCUUUGGGACAACAGGGGGUCCCUGCCUUUCCUGGUGUAUUUAGAGUGGGAGCAAAUGACUGUAAAGCUUUGUGAUUCUCAGGUUUGCUUCUGCUUCUUCUAAGUCAGUCUAGCUUAUACAUGCAUGGCUUCUUUUCCAAUCUUCACACGAGGGGUAGCCUUUGGAAAGCAGAAGGGGGCCUGUUCUCUCCCUUCCCUUCGUUACGAGGGUUCCUGUCCGAAGUUUCUCACACACGGGGAGAAGAACUGAGUUUGGGUCCUGAAUGGUUUUUGAUCAUAAAAUAUAAUAACAUAAUUGCCAGUACUAAAACCUAAUUAGGGACUGGUUCUUUAAGGGGGGAGGGGGGGAUUGCAUCAUUAAAGCGAACUGUCAAUAGAACUUGCCUUACACCAUUACUUAGAUGUGAAUUUCAAGCUGGGUUGAACAGGAGAGGGACAGACCUGGCCCUGGAGUGGGAUGAAUGCAGGCAGUCACACCCGACCUGUGGCUUGGGGACCCCACCAAUGCCAAAAGAGCCUAAUGAGCAACCCUGUCCAUUUCAGCACCACAAGUCCCGAGCUCUGAAAACCCAGUCCCAUGAACAAUUAGAUGUUUGGUCACCCUAGAAAGGAGCCAACUGGUUGGGCAGCCAUGAGGACAAAGUUAUACCUCAUUGGUUAGGACCUUCUAAAAAUUUCCAGCUCCCUUAAUAAAACUAAAUCACAUACUUGAAGGCUACUCA